RNAcentral lists this ribosomal RNA (256 nucleotides) under uncultured bacterium. RNAcentral's name for it is "partial 16S ribosomal RNA". It matches the Rfam family "Bacterial small subunit ribosomal RNA", at positions 524 to 776 of the family's 1533-position model. The record is from RNAcentral.
UACGAAGGGGGCUAGCGUUGCUCGGAAUUACUGGGCGUAAAGCGCACGUAGGCGGUCUUUUAAGUCGGGGGUGAAAUCCUGGAGCUCAACUCCAGAACUGCCUUCGAUACUGGACGGCUCGAGACCGGAAGAGGUCAGUGGAACUGCGAGUGUAGAGGUGAAAUUCGUAGAUAUUCGCAAGAACACCAGUGGCGAAGGCGGCUCGACUGGUCCCGGUUCGUGACGCUGAGGCGCGAAAGCGUGGGGAGCAAACAGG